AGCAACACUCCAUCUCAAAAAAUACGUAAAUAAAUAAAAAACAGGAACCCAGGCAAAAGCAGGGACUGUGCUCUUUCUGUUGCUAAUUGUUCCCAUUGAUUUAUAAAGUUUCCUUUGGAGACAAAGUAUCAUCAUAAAUACGCAGUUGUAAAAACAAGCUCUCAAAGCAACUCUCUCCUUCCAGCUUUUGGUCUGGAGAGAGAUGACUCACUGGGGUAAGGGGGGAGAAUUAUCCAGGAAGUGUGACUGCCAGGGUGACUGGCUGCUGUGGACAAGCAAAGUAAUGUCCACAGAUGCCUAGAUGUUAACAAGGUGCCAAAGCCUGCCAUGUCUUUUCAGCCAUUGUGGUUUCCCUUUGAGACAAAGAUCUAAGAGGGAACGAAGGGGGAACUAGAGCAAUGGUUCAGAUUUGGCCGAUGGUUUUUAACUUGGCCUGCCUCUGCCAGAGCUUGAGUGUCCUGAUUCUGAAGUGAUAGAAUAGAUUCCUUCCUGGGAAGAGGGUCUCUGUGUACUUCUGGGGGACUCUGUGAUUCAGAAGCACAGCACAGGCAGAUCUCCCAAAGGGAAUUUCUCCAGCCAGUCUGUCAAACAGCUCUGCUUCUGAGGCCACCACCCAAGCCACAAAGACAUAGCAGCCAGUGAGAGCUUCUGCUGUGAUUGAGAGCCUGGCUAGAAGGCCCAGAGCCCACCUUACAGCCCCUCAGAACAGCCAAGGCACCAUCCAGGCCGUGUGUGUCCGUUCACACCUUUCAGUUGGGAAACAGGGAUCCCUGGACACUCGUCUGGCAAAGGCGAUACUAUUCACAAAUCAUGUCAUGUGUUCACCCCACGCUUCCAGUGUACUUGUCACAGACCAUGGUGAGAAACUGAGCAAAUUCAGAGGUGACAGCCAAGUUUACAUUCCUGUGAAAAAGUGACAUAAUGACAGCCAGAGCCUUUGGAUCCAAACUCCAGCUGAAGGUAGUAUGGGAACCAGGGGCCCUGCUUGGAACUAAAGUCCCCUGACAUUGGCUUUUCAUGAAGGCAGAAGAGUAACACAAAUCUGACAUUUGUGUCAAAAGGACUCUGAGGAGUCUGCUACCCAGUCCUUGUGCACUCGGGUUGUCUGCAGACUCACACAGCAGCACCAAUAGAUUCCAGUAAAUCCCUGCAGAAUUAAACCUGUGAGAAGGUGGCCUUUGAUUAAGGAAGGACCCCAGAGGGCAAUUUCAUACCCUGCAUUUUCCAUUUCCUCCUACAGAGGAAGAGAGGUUGCUAGCAGCACCUCCAUCCAGCCAUGGUGUGGGUACCCACUGGUACUGUCUUGCCUGCCAGCCUACGGAUGGAAUCUUGAAGGUCCUGAGGCAGCAAGUUAGGGAUAGGAAAACACAUCCAUCAUGAAUGUUUGAAGCCAUAUCACAGCCCUCACAUUCAAGUUGACCUCACCAGGCCAUGUGCCAGAGCCAACAAGUGACUGGACUGGACUCUGCAGACCUGAUGGGAAAUCUCCAGGGAGGGGAAGUGCCAGAUCCCCUGGCUAGGGAUGGGGUGCUGAAGUCUGCAGGAGAGGGCCAGGAGCAGAGCCCGGGGUUGGGGCUGAGACCCCAAGCACCUACAUGAGUGCAGAAGUCUUUGAUGUCCAUCUCCUCAUCAAUGAAGUGCCGGAAGAAGUCUGCUCGGUUCUUGAUGAAGGCUGACGUGAGCAGGCGCAGGAAUUGCACGAUGCGGUCCGAGGUGCUCUGGUCGUUGAACAUCUUCAGCAGGCUGGACACCGAGCCGUCCUUCUCUACCAGUUCCACCACGCUGUAAAACUACAUCCACCCGGCCCUCAGCCAGGGAGGCCCAAGCAAGCCCUGGCCCUCCAUCCGCGCUCUCCCUCAGCAUCCUCCCUCCCCACGAAGCACUCAUGAGCAUUUUCAUUUGUAGAUUCUCAGGCUGAGAUCGAAAAUCAGUCUGAGAUUCUGCCUAAGCUAAGUAACCCAGGGUUAGCUAGACUUGGUAGUUUGUACACUAGCCCAGAGGCACAUCUAGGGAGCAGCAGUUGGGUCUCCCCCCAUCACUACCUGGGUUUGGAUUCUCAGGUGCACACUGGGCAAGGAUCCCCUUCACUAAUUGGAUGGGGAGGCAUGGGGUAGAGAUGGCACAGGGUGAAGGAUGUGCCUUCUCCCAGAGGGAGGGCAGGGCCUUGGGCUCCCUGUGCCCACCCCCCUCCGCAAGCAGGAAGCAGCCCUCUGCUCCUCCUUCCCCAGCCAGGAGGAGCAGAGUCGUGGGUUGUUCCGGGGCUCCAGUGCCCGUUCCUGUCUGCUCUGCCACAUGUGGAAGGAGGGACCAGGUGAACUCACAGCAUUAAAGAAGUUUCUGAACUUGUGCUCCUCAAAGCCAGCAGCCAGAAGGUCAUUUGGAGUCUGCAGUACACGUUCUUUGAACCUGCAGGGGGUUAGACUGGGUGCUUACAGGGAAACAGCAAGUGUGCUGUGAUUGGCAACUGUGCGUCCCCCUCUCAACCCACUGCACCCACCAACCUCAGCUCUCAACCGCAGAACUUCCCGCCCUACCCCCGACACACAGCCAUGCCCUGUGAACGUCACCCCGCACUGCCAGGCCCCGGUGACAGGUGCGUUGUGUGUGCAUGGUAGAAAAACAAUACGGACUAGGGCGUGUGUGUUUCUGCAUCUGCUCCAACUUCCUACUCAGUGACCUCAUGAGGGCAGCUUGACUCACUAAUGACAGUAUUGAAUACUGACACCACAGCAAUCGGCUGACGACACAUACCAGGCCUCUCGCAUGCCCAGAGCUGGCUGUCAAGCAUCUGCCAGGUCCCCCUUGGGGACCUGCUCCACGGGCCCUUGCUCUGUGCAUACUGGGUGGUUCAUCUCUGCACCCGCUGCAGGUGCCCCCCUGGGCGCAGCCCUUUUCUGGGACCUGUCCUGGUGCCCUCGGGGGGCAUGGCAAGAAACCCAGGCCUGGCCCUGGCUUCAGGACACUACAAGUUUAGUGACAGCAAUGAGGUAUGGAAGAAGGGCUGCCUCCCACAAAGACCAGGUGAGUGGCCCUGGGUGACCGGCUGGCGGGCGCAGAACACUAAGGCCACACCAAGUUCUCCAGCCCUGCACCCAUUCCCUGGGCAGGGGGACCAGGCUCUGACAGGACCCAAGAGGCAGAGGUUUCACAAGGGAAUACAGAAGCCUGGGCCACCUCAGAAGCUGCUGUGCUCCUGGAAGGCCUGGUGCCUUGUAGGAGGAUGGGGAGGUGAGCAGGGAGGAGAAGGUAGUGUGUGUGGACAGGAAGCAGGUCUGCUAAUUCAGAAGGAGUGUUUUUGCCUAGAGGCCGCCUGCCCCUGGCUGGUCCCGGCAUAUCUGAGUCCUGCCUGGGCCAGGACUAAAUUCUCCUAUUGCAGGCUGAGGUGCCUGAACUGGAGGGAAGGAGCCUGGGCUGACUUCUAGCUGCAGUCCCCUCCAGACCUGUCAAGUCCCCCUGUGGCUUCUGGCCACAGGCUCCCCUUUGGCGCAAAUGUGGAUGGCGAUGAUGCCUCGACGGCGCGGGUGCUGAGGGUGAACAGAGGGCUUCCCAAAAGGAGGAGGCGUCUGCUGUGGCAGGACAUGCUAGGUUUCCCCUCUGGACCAGGGCAAGGGUCUGAAGAUCGGUGCUGGCUGACGCCUCUCGCUCAGGAGCCACCUUCAUCAUCGCCCCCUGUUCCGUCUUCAGCAGCCGCAGCCUAGGUGGCCCAUAGCCAGGGCACUGGAAGCAGCUCCAGGAAGCAGCCAGCUGCAGUCCACCAGGGUCGCUCCAAGGGCCCGCACCCUCUUCUGGUCACUCUGUCCCUGCAUGGCCAUGAAGUGCACUGCUCUGCUCCCAGCUCUCCUGUCCCCACUCCCACCCCAAACCUCUGCCUCAUUCCACAUUCAUUCCUUGCCAGUGACUUGCGGGCCCCUCUGUGCCAGGCACGGGAUGCCGAGAUAAGCAGCGCGUAGGCCCUGUCAGAAGAGGGCAAGCCCCCAGGCCAGGACAUGCACCCUCUGGAGGUAAGGCAGGGAUGAGGGGAAGGACGGCACUGGGGCUCAGAGGGCAAGUUCAGACAGGCCAGGGCUACACACAAGCCUAUGUGGGACUUCUGCCAAGUCAUUUGACCUCUACAAGGCUCCUCUGGCUCAUCUGUAAGACUGGGUAAUAACAGUGGCUCCCCUCAGGAGGAGCAUGUUCUCCAAGCCCCUGGCACACAGAAGUACUUUGCAUACUUCUGGAGCAAGGAUGCGAGCUCCAGGGCUGGGGCAAGCAAGCAUACCACUGCAACACGCCUGCCCCAGCCCUGCAGCAGCACUGCGCAGAGAACGGGUGUCUGCCUGGGUGGCUCUGGGCUCACUGCACACACGGAGACAGUGGGGUGGGUUGUGGAGGAUGCGUGACGCCGACGGUAAGAGCUAGCAUGGGACACGUCAGUCAUUGCUGCAAGCACUCACGAGUCAAUCACUUAAUGCCCAGGACAGGGCUAUGGCCACCGUUCAACCAGGCAAAGGAGCUACAGAGUGAAGCGACCUGUCUGGGGCCGAGGAAUCCACAGCCGGGUCAGAAGCAGAGCUUCCUGGGCCCAGAGCAGCGUCAGGCAGCAUGUCAGGCAUCCACACAUCUAGUGCGUGUAGGAUAAGUGGGUCCCUGU
This is a non-coding RNA of Saimiri boliviensis boliviensis (Bolivian squirrel monkey), 4633 nucleotides long. The record is from RefSeq and is a predicted model, not a curated record. NCBI's taxonomy places the organism in Eukaryota, Metazoa, Chordata, Mammalia, Primates, Cebidae.